CUGCUCUGACUUGUAAAUUACAUCUUCUGCGCGGUGCUGGCACUUUCGAGAUGGGUCUGAAAGCGCUGCAACGUGGCUGUGAUCUGGAAAAGCAAGAGGAGCUGAGCGAACCAACAGAACUCGUCGACACAGCGUUUCCUUGCAUUGUGAUGAUCUAAAGACGCUUAUCUCUUCAGGUUGUUUUGGAUGCACUUGAGUUCAAUACUUUCCUGUUGCAAAUCUCGAGU
RNAcentral lists this long non-coding RNA (227 nucleotides) under Coccomyxa subellipsoidea. RNAcentral's name for it is "long non-coding RNA (CSUB_LNC000318)". Lineage: Eukaryota; Viridiplantae; Chlorophyta; Trebouxiophyceae; Coccomyxaceae. The record is from RNAcentral.